RNAcentral lists this ribosomal RNA (88 nucleotides) under Dorea formicigenerans. RNAcentral's name for it is "partial 23S ribosomal RNA". It matches the Rfam family "Bacterial large subunit ribosomal RNA", at positions 2838 to 2925 of the family's 2925-position model. The record is from RNAcentral. Lineage: Bacteria; Bacillati; Bacillota; Clostridia; Lachnospirales; Lachnospiraceae.
UUGAAGACGACGAGGUAGAUAGGACAGAGGUGGAAGUGUGGUAACACAUGGAGCUGACUGUUACUAAUAGGUCGAGGGCAUAACCAAG